UACUUGGUGGCCGAUCGGAUCCCAAUUUUUUCGAAACUGAUGAUUGGUGGUCACAAUAAUUGUGAAGCACCCUGAAAUCUUGGGUGAAACGACUAGCUCCAUAACCAGCCCUCCGUUCUACUGAUGCCAUUACUUCUUGAUCUCUAAUUGAUUGCCUAUGUUAAGAGGCAACAUUUGAUGGAGCUGGCAUCUGCUUGCCUUGCGUAAUAUCUGAACAUAAAUUCCUUGUUCAUAGACAGAAACAUAACAUGACUUUUUUGUAAGAGAAUCUUAAUAUGGACACAUGUACAAAUGAAUCUUCUACUACUCACACAUCAUUAUCCAAUGCUCCUUUCUCACGUCUCUCUUUAUAGAUUGAUAGAUAAAAUAAGUGAGUUCAGUUAAUAUUAAAAUAAUGUAAUGUGAAAACGUGUAACAAGGAAAUUG
This is a non-coding RNA of Lupinus albus (white lupine), 426 nucleotides long. Lineage: Eukaryota; Viridiplantae; Streptophyta; Magnoliopsida; Fabales; Fabaceae. The record is from the annotation of a GenBank genome assembly.